GUGUUGGGAGCAAUGCUACAUAAUUCUAGGGAUAAAUCAUUUGGUUAGCCUAGUUCUCUUGCCUACAGCCCAGCUACAGAAUAACUCCAGUUUGGCCUCCGGUCACAACUGAGACUUCAGUGAUCCAGUGAUGCUGUGAUUCUCCAGGACAAGAAACAUCCUGGGAGAACAAACAUCUGCUCAGUUCCUCAUUGUUCUUGGACUGAUUAACAUCUCGUUUACCGGAGAUGUACUGAACUCUCUGCAAGCCUUCCGUUACACCUUGUUUAUCCCAAUGUGAACUAUUGAACUCUCUGCAAGUCAUUUGUUACAUUUGUUUCUCCGGAUGUACUGAAUAAAAGGUGUGGUAAGCUGGGGGCUUUGUCUUUGCUGCCCAGAGCAGCACUCAUCAGAACCAAAGCUCAGCUUCUUCUCAGUCUCAUUUUUCUACCUUUCCUGUAAUUCGCUGUGUGCUGCCGUGGCUUGCAGGAGACCAGGACUAACUGCAGAGGUUCUGGUAAUGUCCCCUUCCCCUGUCCCCUACAUUUGGUGCCCAACGUGGAUGUGAAUCGGAUCCAGGGGUGAACUCACCUGUGAGACAAACUUGGAGUAAGAGAGACAGCACACGGAUCUCCCAGGACGAUUUCCGGACUAGGACGAGGGACACCAGUGGUAAGUGUGUCCAGCUGGGGGUAAUUUUCUAUCUUUGCUGAGUUAUAACUAUGGGUCAGUCUCUGUCCACAGAACAGCGUAACUUUGCCAAAUUACUUAAGUUGCUGUUAAAGCAAGCUGUGUACCCAGUACCUAAGGGUGCUGUGAAGAUUUGUUAAAAGACAUGCAAAUGUAUGUCCCAUCUUUUCCCCAGGAAGGGACAGCUUAACUUAAUAUCAUGAGAACGUGUAGGUACCGCUCUCUGUGAGGCCUGGCAAAGGGGUAAUUGCCUCUCCCCUGACCGCUCCCCACUUGGGCCUUAGUCCACUGAGGUCAGAGUUGCUAGCCAUUAUAUUUGUGAUUGAAAACUUCCCUCCCCAACCUCUUAAUAUUUUAAAUGAUUCCUCUUAUACAGUUUGGUUGACUCAAAGACUAAGGAGCAAUGGUCUACUCUACCUUAGAACCUAAAUUAUUAAACUUGUUUUUAAGAUUACAAAAGGCCAUAUGUCAAAAAAUUCCUCCUGCCUUAAUAACGUGGGGGAGAGGUUUCGCCUGUGCCCUAACAGAUAAUGAAAAAAAUCUUGUGGCUGCCCUCCUGGAAUGUGAGACCGUGGGUCACGCUGGUGGAACCGCCAACAUCUCACAGAAUCAAUGAUAGCACCCUGGCUGAAAGCGAUGAGCCAGCUGCACCUCAGGGACCCACCUCACCAGCGACAACCAACAAAUCCAUGGCAGGGUCCAGGACUGAGAUGAUGCCCCCAGAGGAAUGAUAAUUAUAGAUUUAUGGUAAAAAAUUUAUAAAGGUGGGGGACAACUUCAAAAUGCUCCUUUUAUAUUUACAGGUAUAAAAGCGCUUUCAUUCCUUCUGAUUAUAAUCUCGAGAUCUCUGUUAAUUGACUAUUCCAAAGUUUUUGACCAGUCAUACAAUUAUAAAUCUAAUAAUCAUAAAAAGGAUAUUACGAUUCAAUUUGGCUAAAUAUAUUUGCUUGCACUCUGAUUUUGUAAAUUGUCUUAUAUGUUUGUCUGUUGUCUGUUUGUCUGUUUGUACAGUUGAGCUCAAUUUUUUUUUUCUCUUUUUCUUUUCACCUUUUGAAAAAAAAAAUUUUUUUAAAGAUAUUCACCUAUUGUUAAAUUCGCUUACAGGUAAAUGUUACUAAAUUAAAGGCAUGCCUUCCUUCCCAGGUUGCUAACUGAUCAAAGUGCCACUGAGAUUUAUUUUAUAAAAGUAAUGUAUAUUGUCACCUACAUGCAAUAAUCAAAUUGCAAUAAGCAGUUGUAAAAUAGGAAGAUAUAUAUAUUCUUAUUCUUUGUUUGUCAAAAUAGAGACUGUGGGUACUCUCUUUGGUGAAUAAACAAGUGGCCACCCAGAAAAUAAUUAUUCUGGUCUUAAUUCACUAAAGGGACCCCCUAGUAAUUUUUAUAAUCUUAUGGGAGACACACCACAACAAAUAUUGUCUCAAUGUGUUAUUAUAAAUUGAUUACAUUGGUUAUCAUUGAAGUUUAAAUUCUAAAUAUGUUAUAAAUUGAUUACAUUGGUUAUCAUUGAUGUUUAAGCGCUAAAAAUGUGAUUGUAAAAUGUUUACAUUGGUUAUGUUCUGAAUAUGUUAUUGUAAUAUGUCCACAUUGGUCAUCUUCAAAAGCUUAAUUUCUGUGUCAUAAACAAGAGUGUUAUUAGAAAGAUGGUUUUGGUACCAAACCACAGUGAAGAAAAUAAGGUUUUAUGUAACUAUGAUAUUUAUUACUGCUCCUUUUCUGGUGUACAAAAUGUAUUCAUGCCCUCUAAUUGUAUGGGUCUUCUAACAUUGUUUAUGGUAAUAACCUUUUGAUUCAGGUAUUUGCCCUUUUCUUAUGCUCCAGCCACCUAUGAAAAUAGGCACACUUGUAGGUUGAUAUAUUUUCCUUAGAUGAUGUCCUAUAAAAAGAUAGCUACUCAGGGAUCCAACCACAACAGCAACUGUCAUUGGCAAUAAUAACAGUUUAACUAUAUUUUUAUUCCAAAAUGCUUAUCUCCAGGUAAAAUUAUAACAGUUGAGUUCACUACUCCUCUUACAAUGCUAAUGUUAUUGAUCUUCUCUUCUGGGUGUUCAACAACCAAAGUUUAGAGACCAAAACUGAAGAGGUAUUUGGGCUAAGAAGGCAGCCAAUAUUUUGGCCCUGGCCCUCCAAGGUCAACAACAAUAACAAAAAUAUCCAGGAUAUGAGGGAACCAUCUCUGAGAUCCUGCAUUUUUGGUGAGUCAUCCAACCUCCUGAGCAGGGAGGUUGCUGAACACCAAAACAGUAAAGAUCCAACAAAAAGUGUGCCAAAGGAAUGUCACCUGGAGGAAAAAAAUCUCCCAUGCUUUCGCAGGAAGCAACAUGGUCAAGCAAGGCCGUGACAUAUCCUGAUGGGUGACACUGACAGAGGAGCUAAGAGGCUCUAUGCGUGGUUCCAAGACAGUGCCUGUGGAGACUUAAUUGACCUUGUUAGAUAACAAGAGAUUGAUUUUAUUUAAUAUAGGUUUCACCGUAACUUGAUCUUAAACACCCAGUAGAAAAGUAUAACUAAAGACAAUAGUUAUUUGAGUUCAACGAAAGUUUUAAGUUUUUAAACCCAAUGUUUAAAAACAAAUUGUUAGAUUUUUUAAUCCUUUUUCAGCCCCAAUUAAGAAAAAUUAUGCUUAUUAUAGACAGCUGAGCCAGUCAAACUAUAAAUCCUCACACUACAUAGGGACAAGCCAUUGUUGGGUGUGCUUGCUUUUCAAUAAAACUCCUUCACAUAAAACAAAAAGAAAGGGAGAUAUGUUGGGAGCAAUGCUACAUAAUUCUAGGGAUAAAUCAUUUGGUUAGCCUAGUUCUCUUGCCUACAGCCCAGCUACAGAAUAAUUCCAGUUUGGCCUCUGGUCACAACUGAGACUUCAGUGAUCCAGUGAUGCUGUGAUUCUCCAGGACAAGAAACAUCCUGGGAGAACAAACAUCUGCUCAGUUCCUUAUUGUUCUUGGACUGAUUAACAUCUUGUUUACCGGAGAUGUACUGAACUCUCUGCAAGCCUUCCGUUACACCUUGUUUAUCCCAAUGUGAACUAUUGAACUCUCUGCAAGUCAUUUGUUACAUUUGUUUCUCCGGAUGUACUGAAUAAAAGGUGUGGUAAGCUGGGGGCUUUGUCUUUGCUGCCCAGAGCAGCACUCAUCAGAACCAAAGCUCAGCUUCUUCUCGGUCUCAUUUUUCUACCUUUCCUGUAAUUCGCUGUGUGCUGCCGUGGCUCGCAGGAGACCAGGACUAACUGCAGAGGUUCUGGUAAUGUCCCCUUCCCCUGUCCCCUACAAUUCUGAUUGCUCAACAUAUACCUCUUCUCUCAUUUUACAGCCCUGCUUAUGAUACUUGUUAUCAGCAGGAGACCCAAAGGCUGCACACCUUCCCUCCUUCCCAUUCUUGUAAUGAAUAAACACUGGACAUCUUUGGUGUUCUUUGUCUUUGCUGUUCAGAGAAGAUCAGAUCAGCCAAAGACCCAACUUCACUGAAGUCUCUGUCUCUGUGUCUUUAUUCUCUCUCUCUUUUCUAUCUCAUGGAUGUCAUACUGGCUCAUAGGAGAUCGAGACCCAUGGCUGGGGAUUUUGAUAAUCCCUCUUAUAGUUUCAGAUUUACUCCCAUGAUAGUAGAUAAAAUAUUCUAUUAUAGGAUGGCUACUGCACUUUUAAAUUACCUUUUGUUUCUAUCAUAGUGUAAGUCCAGGCUGUAUCUGUUUAAUUAAGCAUCAUGUCUACCAUAUUCCUGGGGACUGGUUAGGUGUAAGUACUUAUGCCUUAAUUAAAUGUGUUUGACACAGUCAAUAUGAAAUCUAACAAUGCUGAGAAAUUAAUUAUAAUAUCUACUCUAUUAAUUUAUUUAUGUUUUAAAGAUGUAACUAAGCUUUGGAAGACAUUCAAAUUUUUAAGAUUUAUAAGUCAGAUAUGAAGUUUCCUCUAAAUACAAAUACAAGAAAAUAGUUUAUAAGAAAUAUUAUUUGUUUUUUUUAACAAGUCUUAAUUAAUCUAAGCUUAUGUUUUCUAAAACAAGCCUUAUCCAAAGAAACAAAUGAGUGCCUUUUCUGCUUCAGAAUUUCUUUGUAAGAGAGGCUUAGGCUCAUUAAUCAAUUGUGAAGAAAAACUAGGCUGCUUUGAAACUUUGCUUUCAAAUUAAGCCCUUUUUAAAGGUCUUAUGUUAUAUAUUUCUGUUACUAUUGGCAUAAACUGAUAGAAGUUAUGGAAGGGCAUCCUAAAUAAAAAUGGAAAACCAAACAAAACAAAAAUAUUGGCAGUACACUAUUGUUUUAACUCUUGGGUAUAUAAAAUACAAGCAAUGGCAGAAUUAUGCCAUGAAGUGAGCAUAAUAUGCACCUUGUGGUUAGAAUUUCUGCAUUUUUAUAUGGCUAGAAGCAUAGUUAUUCAAAUAAUUCAAGUCUCAAUUAUUUUUUGAUAACAUAUGCAUGAACAUGUAUAAAAAUUCUACUCCAAUCAUAGACCCUGCUUUGUGCCCUUAUUUCUUACAAAAAGCCCAGGAAGAAGGUAAAAACAAGAGUGCUAUUGGACUUUAUAAAUGAUAAUUAGUAUCAUCUGUUCCUUAACAAUUAUGCAUUUUUGUGUUUAAAGGCUACUAUGAUUUAAUAAUAUUGAGGGCAGAAUUAAAUAUCUUUUAAAAACAUUUAGGUAUGCAAAUUUGAGGUAUGGCCAAGAGCUCGAACAGAUGUUUAAAAUUCUAGCUGAAUCUGUUUGUUCAUUCUAAAUAUGUGUACAUAAUGUAUUGUGUGUGUGCCAUUUUAUCAAGCAUAUUUGCAUGUAAAUGUAUGUAUGGCCCUGAUUCUGCCAUCUUUAAUCAUGCAAAACUACCAGUGGCUUCUGGUGGAAUUAGAGACAUAUCAGUUGGGGCACAAUUAGCCCACAGAGAAGAUCUUAAAAUAGCUAGAGCAACUGUGUCUGUAUUAGUUACUUUUGUCUUUGUUGAAACAAAACACUUGACACUCACAAGUAAAAGGAGAAAAGAUUUAUUUUAGCUCACAGUUUGUCAAGGUUUCAGCCCAUAAUUGCUUGGCUCCAAGGCAGAGGGGCAUCACAGAGGAGAAACAACUCAUGGUAUGGCAGACAGAGGCAGCAAGCAGGAUCAGCAGCAAGCCUGCCUUUCCUAUCUCACUUUAUAUUCCAUCCAGCAUACAAACCAUCCAGGGUAGGACUUGUAUUAUCUACACCCAUUAUCCCAGUAUUAUACCUUUAAUCCACAUUCUCACACCAUAAAUUCAGCUACCUGUGAAAAGCUCCACCUAUGAGUGCAUGAGGCUUUGGGGAAAUAUCUAGCCACAAGACAUACCAGUGUCUGCUGACAAUAGAUAUGCAGUUAUAAAGCAAUGCUUAUAGUCAAAGAUUGACAAGAACUUCAUAAGCCUAAACAGAAGAUUUAUAAGGGAACCUCUGAGGUAUGAUAUUAAUGUAAAAUUAAUAGAAACUUCAGUUCUUUCUGUUGAUUAGUGUCAUGUUAAUAUUUUCAACCUAUUUGUAUCUAUUUUUAGCAUAAAUUUCUCUUGUUCUUCUCUUGUUACAUAUACCUCAUACAUAUAACUCCCACACAUCUCUAUUAGUGAUUUACUUAAUACGAGGAACCCUGACUUAGAGUCCAUCAAAGUACUCAGAUAAUUUCUACUGACAUAGGUAUAUAGUGCUUAUAGAAAAUAAACUAAUGCAUUUUUAAGCUAUUUUUUCCUUAUAGUUCAACACAAUUUUUACUAUGGUAGGUUAAAUUUUUCUGAGUUUCAAUAAACAUUUUGAUGUUUAGUUAAUCUGUACUGUUUAGUAAAAAUUUUAAAGUGGAUCUCUCUUUAUUUGACAGAUUCAAUUGUUUAAUAAAAAUAACUUAGCAAUUUCUGUUUGCUGGAUAUUUUUAUUGAGGAACAUCUCAAUGUAUUUCACAAUAAAUCCCUUUCAUAUAUCUAUAUUAACAUCUAUAUAAAUGUUUUGAUUUUGUAUCUAUGGAGAACCUUGACUAAUAUAACAUUAAAGCAAUUCUUUCUCCUGAAGAUUAUUUAAAUAUAAAAAGCUCUACUAAAUGAAUAACUCUUUCACUAAGAUAAAAUCAACAAUAAAAUUAAACAGCAGGAAAAGGUACAAACACUGCAAGUAGAAACUUGUAAGCUUUGUCCAAAAUAAGUUCCCAAAGAAUGGUAUAUUCUUAAAUUUAUAUGUUAGAAGAUACAUUUGGAAUAUUUCCUACUUGUAUGUAAUAGUGGACUGCUAAGUGUGUGGAAAAUUCAUGAGACUUUUUAUUGAAAGUUACUAUUAAGAAUAAAUAUUUAAAAUUUCUACACUAGGAUAUUUAAAACAGGUUACAUAUUAUAUCUACUUACUCUGUCUAAAAAUCUGUGUAUAUUUUCCCAAAAUGUGUCAAUCUAACCUACACAGCUCUUAUCCUACUACAGUAUAAAAAGUUCAAAAACGAUGAAUAGAGAUAGUAUAGAAAGUACUUAAAGCAGACCAAUGGCUUCAUAAGACUCUUGAAAUUAUAUUGUGCACAUAGGAUAAGAAAUACUAUUUAUUGGGGCUGAGGAUUUAGCUCAGUGGUUUUGCCACCUGCUGCACAAGUGCAAGGACCCGAGUUCGAUCCCCAGUACCUGAAAAAAAAAAAAAAAAAAAGAAAUACUAUUCAUUUGGCAAAUCUUUUAGCGUAAGGAAGAGUAUGUUUGCAUUAAAAUCAAUGUUAAUUAAAAACACCUCUGAAGUGCUUCUAGGAGUCAUGUUUAAUAUUAUUUUAUUUCUGACAAUUGAAUAAUACAAUUACAUCUAAUAACAACAGUAUAAUAUAUUUAAUUUUAACUAACUAGUAGUAUACUACUGAAAUUUUUUGAGACUAAUUCUAUCACAGAUAUAUUAAGAGGCUAAAGUAGUACAAAACAGUUAUUUUGGUUAAGAAAAUUAUUUUCUCAUUCAUUCAUAUAGAUGAAAGAUUAAUAUGCCUAUCCAUCAUAGAAUUACACAAUGAUGUGAUAAUACUAGAGAAUAUAUUAUAAUGUAUAUUAUAUUGCAUACAUAAUAUAUAGUUAUAUAUAUACUAAAUAUCAUACUUGAGAAUAUAUGUAUGAUAGAUUUAUUUCUUAUAAAUAUAGUAUAGAAUAUAGAACAAACCUUUGCAUUCAGGCAUGUCAACUAUGUAUGUACUCCAUCUCUCUCAUAUGUCCAUAUAAAACAGCCUGGAUUAGACCAAAAGAGCAGUGAUCAUAUAGGUAGCUGGAGGCUUCUAAUAUUCCAAAGAUCAAUGGAGUUGAGCAAUGGUAAGUAUACUGUUAAGAAGUUGAAAUCUACACAGGAGCACAAAACAAAAGGUAAUACUUAUUCAAAUAGACUCAAUGCAAUUUAUUCAUCUUUUUAUGUGAAGAGUUUAUGAAAAAAUGACUCAUUUUCUUUUCCUUUUCCUAAAGAAGGAAAAAAUGAAAACAAAGCUUUUGUGAAUAAGGAGGGGAAGAAGGGAUAAAGGGAGGGUAAUGGAAUGGGAAAACAAAAAGUAUCAAGAUAUAUCAUGUACAGGUACAAAUUCCCUGUGAUAAAUGUAAUUUUUAUGUAUAUCUAAAAUGUACCAAUAAGCUUAAUUAAUAAAAAAUGGAAAAAUGACUUUGCCUAUUAUCUUUAGCAGAUACUAAACUAUCUAUUAUUCAGGUAAUUUAUACUAAAGUUAAUUUCACUUUCCCUGAGCUAUUUCAAAGGGCAACUACACUCUCCCUUUGGUGGAAACAGUUUUUGAAAAGCCAACCGUACAGUUAUACAAUAGAUAUCAUUUUGAACUUUUUGGAAUUUAGUUUUAAAACAGCACAAAAAACAACCAUAAAAGGGAAUAAUAAUGUAUUAGAUUUUAGAGGCAAAUAAAACAAGGUAGGGAGAAAAAAAGUUUUGAAAAGUAGUAUAUAAAGAGUCCACAUCAUGUGAGUUUAAACAAGAAGAAAAAUGCACAUUAUUCUUUUGUAUUUUGUGUCUAUAAUACAACAAAAUAUAAUUAACAAUUAAAAAUUGCAUUUGCUUCUCCAAAUUGUCAAUAUUCUAAAUCUGAUAUCUUUUUCAUCAAACAAUCUUUUUUUCACUUUCUUCUUUAUUCAAUAAAAAAUAGACUUUCCAAAACUCACUGUUACUUUUUGAUUUUUCUUAAGUGUGACUGGCCUGAAGGUGGCAUUGUUGGAGUAGAUCAACUCUUUGGUUGAUUCCUGAUGAGAUGUUGUUACAGUAAAUCAGCUGGUGUGAAGAUGGAAACGUUAUACUCUGGACUCUACUGGAGUUCAUCUCUGCUAUUUGUAUUUUCUUGCCAGGAUUUUCUAAACAAAAUUUUAUUUGCAUUGGAGAAUUGGCCAUUUUAUUUCCCAAAUAUUUGGAAUUAAGUGGCAUGGUCCUGGUUUUGGAUUUUCAUCAACCUUAAAUAAAAAUAUUUAUUAGUAUUAUUAGUAUAAGUAUCAAAACAUUUAUUAUUAAUUAAUUAAUUUAUUUAUUUAUUUUGGUUCCAGUGUUUGAACUUGGGUCCUUGUACUUGUGAGGCCGGUGGCGGAACCACUGAGCUAAAUACCCGGCCCCAAAAUAUUUAUUGGUACAUAUAUAUAUGCAUAUAUAUAUAUAUAUAUAUAUAUAUAUAUAUAGCAUUCAUCAUAGGGAAUUUCCUCCUGUACAUAAUACAUCCUACAUUUUUUCCCAUUCCCUCCUUCCCCUUAGACCUCCUCCCAUUUAUAUACAAAAAUUUUAUGUCCAUUUUUUCCUUCCAUUAAGUAAAAAUCUUGUGGCCCAUAAAUUGUUUCAUUUUUUAAUUGUGGUAAUCAAAGAUAUUAGCAUAUACCAGUUUCAGGCCUUCAGCAAUCUCUACUGUAAGUUAAUAUAUUUUACUCCUAUAUAAUGUGUCUAGGAUUCAUAUCUUUAGUGAUUGCUGCUCCAUUGGUCUUGUAGCAAACCCCAGCCAUGCAUUCUAUACACUCAUAUUUUUCAUUAUUUUGUUCAAAAGCUGAGUAAAAGGAUCAACUAGAACUCUUUUUGCUUUGAUGCAAUAUUUUCAGGGGCAUGUUCCUCAGCUGUCAUUCCUUUUCAGUUUGGUGUGCAUGGUUGCCUGUUUGUACCUUGAUCACCCUUCAGUCUUUCUUCCUCGACACUCCAGAGUCAAGGAAAUUCCAGGGAUCUGAUUUUAAGAAGAGUUCACUGGUUCAGCCUCCUUGGGUGACCCAGCCACUUCAGCUCCCUCUGUGCUACUCUUUUUUUAAAAUUAUUAUUAAUUUUAUUGGUACAAUUAAGGUAUAUUGCUGCUGUAAGAAAUGAGAACCCAGGUGAUCCUGAUAUAGGGGAAGAGAUGUAAUUUCCAAACCUCCUAGAUAUCCAAAACGUGAGUUCCUGUUCUCUAAAAUUGAAGAAUGAAUUCUAGGAACAAUGAAGUUUAAGAGUAGCAAAAAUGUAUUGGGAGAAAGAAAGCUUCUUCCUAAGAGAGAUAGAAGGGGGACUGAAAAGUGGGUUGCCUGCCCACCCCACUUUUCAAAGAUGUUUUAUGCAGUAAAGCCAUGCGGUGAGGUGGGUACGAAGUGGGACAAAACUAUAAGAUCCAAUGGAAAUUUACAAAGUGGGCAUUAGGUGGGACAAAAUCAUGACCAACCAAAAAGAUUGCAAGUACAGUCACCCAGGUAAUAUUGAUUAAAUGGGGAUCAAAUGGGAAGACAAGUCACAUAUAAGGAAUUUCCCAUUUAGAAUAUCAAUCACUGCUAUCUAUCCCCAGGGGAAGUAAUACUUCUUUUCCUUUUUAUAAUGCUAACCAGUGAAUAUGCCUCAAUUGUUCUCCAUGUUGGUUCCUUGCAGUGUUGGCUCCAGGAGGCCUGGUGCCUUAAGGGAGGCCCUGUCUGCCUGACAAUAAGAUAUCUAAUUAACUUACCUAUCUAUAAUAAUCCCACCCAGGGGCCACUUUAUGGACUUCAGCAGCUGUUCAGUGAAACAAUUAAUUUCAGCAUUACAGAGUUGUAUUAUUUCCCUAAAAUGGUGAUUACAUUCUUUUCUGGUUUUCAUUCAUUUGUUUGAUAGCUUCAAUGACAAAAAAGCAUCAUACAUCUCUUGUUGUACCAUAUUAAAGCCCAAAGUCUUACUGUAGCAAUACUAAAAAUCAUCUGUUUUUGCUCUUCAGUCAGAUUUUACAUCCUUGAAAUAAAUGUCAGAUAACUGUGCCCACAACCCAAGUAGAAUUUUAUUUGAAGUAGAUCCUAAAAAAUGUACACCUUUUAAAUUUCUUCUCAUCUACUUUAAAGGAAUAAGGCAUUUGUACAAAGUAAAAAUACUCUGAAUUGUUUAUCAUGUCCUGUAAGCAAGAAUAAGUCAGUAUAAAUCAAGUGAUAGCUAUGAAAUGUAUAUUUAUUCCAAAAGUUAUCUGGCAAGUAUUAUUGACAAAUAAAAAAAUUUAGCCAUAAAAAGGUAAAAUCACAUACCUCAAAGGGUACCAGUAAGCACUUCCCUUCUCACUUACCUCUACAAUGCCAAACUUGUAAGUGAAACUUAUGCUGUUUUGUUUGACACUAUGUUUUAAACCAUUUCAUUUGUAAAAACUAAAUUCCUAAAAUAUAUAGUAGGUAAGUCUAUACUCUAUUGGCUCAACAAAAAUUAAUUGGAGUUUUCUCUAUGAGCUCGGUAGUAUUCUAAGCAGUAAAGAGGCAUUAAGGAAUGAAAGGGAGAGAAUAUAAAUUUUUUUAAAUUUUAAUAUUUUUAUUAGUACAUGUUUGCAGUACAUGUAGAGCAAUAGAUGUAGAAAGCUGGUACUUGUUUUUUAUACCCUACCCUUCUUUUCCUUCCUUAAUCCUUCCAACACUUCCCCUUCCCAUUUGCAAAAGCUCUAAUUUCUCCUUUAAUUUUCCCAUUCUGUUUUUCUCUCCUCCAUCCAUCUCUUGCUCCACCAUCUACUGGGAAAUAUCUUUUAUCUUCUAUUUUUCUUUCUCUCUCUCUCUUAUAUACUUAUAUAGUAUGUAUAUAUGAGAAAUCAUUUGAUUUUUAACCUGGUUGUCUGACUUAUUUCACUUAAUAUUAUGAUUUCAGUAAAAUAACAGAAACAAACAAUUAGUAAAAUAAAAAGUAAGUUGACUCUGGACAUAUUUUCUAUAAAAAAGAAAGAAAGUAAAAUUGAUAUUUGAUUGAAUUCUAGCUAUUGUAUUGUCAGAAAAAGCUUCAGUGAAAAUAUGCAAAGUAGGAUAAAGUACAGGAGAAACUGUGGCUAUGUAUCAUGUUAAAUUGUGUUCCAAGAAACAAAUACCAUUGUUUUCUAGGAUAUAAUGGCCCCUAGGACAGUAAGCCUCAACUACAUUGAGAUACAUAAAAUGUUGAAAUACAAAAUUUAUUUUAUUGUCACAACAUGGGCUGUGAUUGCUUCAGGUAGUUACUAAGUAGAGGUUACUGUUCCAUAGGACAGGUCCCUACAAUAAAGAAUAAUCCAGCCAUAAUUAGUAAUGCUAAUAUUUAUAAUGACUGUUGUAAGAUGGUAAUUUAUCUUUUCUUUCAAACAUGGCAAGGAGGCUAGGGGGCUGGAUCACAAUGAGAUAGUCACAGACUGCCAGCUAUUGGAGCCAAUUUAAUAAGAUCACUGCAUGCUGUCACAAAAAUGGUGUUGGAUGAGAAGACUGGGUGACAAAGGGAAGAGGUUGUGACAAGUAUUGAGGAAAACAUGAUGUCCACUUGCAUCUGUGGCAUAAUAGUGGAGCAAUGAGCGGUGGUCCAAUCCUGAAUAUGUUGUGCCCAGAUUGCGUAGUCCCAAAGACCACCAGGAAGCCAAUCCCGAUGUAAGCACACGAGGGUCAUUUAUUCAAGCUCGAGCAGGGGCUCUCAACUGUCACCGACGCAGUGGGUCGAGAUUGAGAGCCCCAAAUUUCAAAUUAGCGGGACUUUUAUAGAGGUUACAGCAAGGUUUGGAGAUUUUCCACUUAGCAGUUACAUGAUUGGUUGACAAUUAGCAAGCAUGAAGUGUACAUUUCUGAUUGGCUAGGUGCAUCAGGGGUUGAGGGGUGGCUACAUGUAGGUUUUACAAGGGAAAAGAGGGACAAAGGUUAGUGGCCGACUGUCACGUACUGAUGGUCAGCAGACACACUGACUAAUAGUCACGACCAUUACGUGCUUACAGUCAGCACAUCUACAGAUUGUUCUAUAGAUAGAGGGCCCGGAACGUUCAUUUCCUGGGCAAACAGAUGGCUGAGUAAUUACCUCAGGAAUUUUGCUUCAUUACAGAUUGUAUCUUUUGUCCCAAAGUAAGCACAUUUUAACCAUUAAUUUGUGAGAGACUAGGGGAAUGGUGGAUUUUAGCAAAAUGGAGUCGCUUUGGUCUCACAAAUAUAUUUGAGGGUAAAAUAAAUACGACUUUCUGAGCUGAACUUGGGAGUGGGGAUGAGGCCAAAGGGACAGAGAAAAAGCCAGUAGCAAUUGAAAUAGACUUGCCAUUAACUGAGAGGAGAACACCUUCCAUCGGAUGUCCUUGCCUUUAGGAGCUGAGCUCUAUUGUAUUAGUUUUAAAAUAAGCAUAUUUAUGUAAAUAUAUUUGAAUAUCUAUGAUUGUCCCUAUAUUUCACAAGCUGUAAAACAUCCAAAAGGGGAAAUUCAAGGUUUGGAGAGAGUUUAGAUAUUUAAUUUAGGGUUAUUAGGCAGUAGUUGAGGAAAUUAGAAUUACCACACUGAAAGCUGUGGUAGAUUCAAAUUUGAGGGCUUGUUAUUUGGAAAAAGUAAACUAAUUAUUCAGAAGUGUUAAAACAGACUCAAAAAAAUGAGAAGAAAUUUGAGAUAGCAGAUUAUAUUUUAAAAUAAUGAAAAGAAAUUGAAGAAUAGGGGCUCUACAAUACUAAAACUGUUGGGUCUUUUUUUGUUAUUAGCUGUUCACGCUGAAUGUGAAAGGUUUUGUUUGGGGAAUAAUGAGAGAUAUUUGUCUCUUGGGAGAGAUAUGAGGUUCUUUGGAGUGUGUGUUUUUUUUGUGUGUGUGUUUUGUUUUGGCACCCAGGAUUGAACUUGGGUCCUUGCGCUUGCGCAGUAGGCGGCAAAACCACUGAACUAAAUCCCCAGCCCGAUAUGAGGUUCUUAAACACUAAACACCAUCAUUGCUAUUCACUGUUGUGUUCACAAGUCAUCAAUGCACCAUAAUAAAUUUUGUAACCAUCAAUGAAUAUAGAAAAUAGAACAAUUAUUUUGCACAAUAUUUUGUAACAAUAGGAUCUCUCAUUUGCAGACAUGAGUUGUAGUUUAAUCAAAUGAUUCAGGUUCAGUAAAGGCAUCUUUGUUUGAUUUUUAAUGAAUAUACAUAGCCAUUUUUUAGAAAUUUGCACAGGAGUAUGAUAAAUCUCACCCAAAUAGAAUAACUGCAGCAAUUCUUUUCCCAGGUGCUGUCCUGAAGAGGGUUACACCUUCUAGACACAGAAAUACCUGACAGAGCUCAUUUUGUUAUUUUUCUCCAGUCAGCAGUACUUAACAAUUUUGUUUAAAGAUAACUAUGAUCUGGAGAAUAUUGUACACUUUGUUCUCCAUUUUAAAAUGUGCAAAUAUGAUUUGCUAGUUUCUAGUUUUUGCAAUUAUUAACUUUUUCUUCAAUGAGAAAUGUAAUUACAGCUAAAUUCUGUAACACUUGUCAGGAAAUUUAAGAAUGCCUCCAGCAAUCUGAAACUACUUGAGCUGCAUUGAGCUAUUUUAGAAAAUAAAUUGAUACAAUUUUUGUGCAUUCCAGAGGUGUAUGACCUUAAGGGCAACUGGAAAUUUUAAGGGAGUACUUUGUUAUUCAGAAUGGAAGAGUACAUCAAAAAAUCAAUAGCUAAUAAUUACCAGUGAUGCUGUUUUGUUUUGUUUUAAUUACAUGAGUUUGUUAUAAAAUAUAUACAUAGAUUCAGAAAGUUGCUGGUUCCAUUAUUUUCAGGAUGAUAAUCAUUUCUUUUUGAGGACCUUGCUCUGUACCUAGUUUUCCUUCUUUAAAAAUCAGGACUAUAGUUGGCUGAUAAGGAAAGACUUUAGGCAUUUUUAUCAGUUUAUACGUUGGCAAGCCUGACUUUUGUGACAGGUAAAAGAGAUACCACCCUAAAUCCUGAUUCUCCUUGCACAAUUGGUUCAUCAUUUUGACAGGCAAAUCAACCCAAAAGGCAAGAAAUCUAUUUUUGGAUGUGGCAAGUUCCCUUAUUUCUUUUUCUUUUUCUUUCUUUCUUCCUUUUUUUUUUUUUUUUUUUUUUUUUGAUUGUGCAUAAAUUGUUAAAAAUGGUUGGAAACACAGACUAGAAACCUGUUUUAUGAUUUUGUACUAUUUGGGAAAGUCAGAAUAAUUCCUAUUACAUGGUGGGAAAUAAAGUGGGCCUAUUCCAUAUCAGAUUUCUCAUACAUGUCAAGCAUUCUCAGGAAAAACAAUUGUACAAUUAAGAUUUGAAAUCCUUUCCAGCAAAAAAAGCAAAAUCCUGAAGAAAAAUAGUGACUUAGUUAUUCAAAUUCUUCCUUAAAUAAAAAAUAUUUUUAAAAUAUAUUAAUUUGAAUAAGUUGUGUUAUCUCUCUGGACUCCAGUUUUCUCAUUUGUAAAAUAGAGAUAAUAAAAAUAGGCCCUAUCUAUGUUCCAGGGAAGAAGGUUUGAAUAGGAUACAUAACUUGGUGAUAGUCAUGAAAUCAGAAACUGUCUAAAUAGCCUUUAUGUCUAAUCUUUUAUGUCUUAACUCUUUACCUGUUUAUCAUAGUUGCAUAAUUGUAUUUUUAUUUUUAUAUCAUAUGGCCACUCUUCACUUAUUAGUUGAUAUUGUUUUGGGCAACACGUGAAUUUGUGGAUCUCUUCCUCCUUGAAAUGCUCAUUUCUCAUGGUUGGGUUCAGCAUCAUUCCCUCCUCUGAACUUUCCUCCUCCCCUAUUAUUGAUUGUUAUAAUGAAAGAUUCUCUUGUGAGAUGUUUACUUACUUUCUCUUAAUAUAUUAUUACUUGGCUAAUCUGUGAUUCCAUCCCUUUUUGGAUAUAAAAGCACAAUCACUACUUCUGUUCAGUUCUCUAAUCACAGUCCAUUUACUUCCCCUAAAUUCUAUAUAGACAGUAGUAUCCUAAAGAUUUCAAAUUGGCUCUCCCAGGCAUCUGGACUUAUUUUUUAUAGAAAACCUAUACUGUAACUACCUUCCCUGUAUCAAUGAUGAAUAUUAAUUUGUGCAAUCAAAUGUAGGAACUGGAGCAUUCCCAUUCCUAAAUCUUUCAUUACAACAAUUGUUUUGGUGAUUUGUUCCCUUUAGCACCUCAAAAUUAGUGCCUGUUUUAAGGACAAGGUAACAUGUAAGAGCAAUAGAAAUAUUUACAAUGGUAAUAGUUGACCCUUAUCAACACAAUGAGAUGAUAGUUUCUUGUUGUUUUCCAAAGCAAAAUGAAAUCCAGACUUUGACUUGGAAGAUGUUUGUUAACAGCUGGAAUAAUCAGUAACUCCGCAGAACCUGAGCCACACCAUCUGCUUUUCUUAGCUGUACAUACACCUUCUUUGUUUCUGAGCACAUUCUCAGAUGGGCCUCAUGACUAAACUUCUGCUUGCAAACAAGAAAGAUAAAAGCUUUUAGAGCUUGACCAGAAGGAGGUGAUAUAUGGAACCAAUCUUUGACCCAGGUCACUCAAGUCAAUUUUCUUUAUUAAUGAGAGUGUUACAGUCUAUGGAUCUCAAUACUUGUUAUUCAAAGAGAACUCUAAAGAACUUAUUCUGAAAAUGUGAAGAAAACUCACCCCUAAACACAAUUGCUACAAAACAGUGACUAGUAAAAUUAAUACUAUAUGAUUUUAUUUCAGGUAGCAGAAAUCAACUGAGAAUGGCUGCUGUGCUUUCAAUAUUAUGCAGCUGGUAUGUCAAGAGGGCAAAGAAGUAAUCUGCAAGUGAUACUAGCAAAGAUCAUCUAAUUGAUGAGAAGUUAAUUUUGAUGACUUACUCCAAAAAAGACUGUCCCCACUGCAGAGGACAGAAGAAAGGAACAUACCACAUGGGCAGAUGUGUAUCUUCUGUAAUAAAUACAUUCUAAGCACAUAAAAUCAGCCCAAAGAGAACAUCCCAAUGCUGCUGACAAAGAAAACUUUGGGGAUUAUGUAUAUCUCCUUUUCUUUUUUCUUUCUUUUCGUUAGGAUAAAUAUCUGUUAGGAAUUAAUGCAUUGGAAGAGGAAAAUAAGGUAAUCUGCCUACCAGUUCACCAGAUAUUCUUCUUCAAUAAGUCUUGUAUGCCAACUAUGGUUCCCCACUCAGAUUCCAGUUUGCAGCACUGGAAAGCAACAACAGCAGCAACACACUACUGGAAAGUUUAUUAGUAUACUCCAUUGUGAUUUGAGGAACUAUGCCUAAUUUAUCAUGAUAUUCUAAAAUCCAUCAUAAUACCUAAAAACAUUGGGUGUUUAAUGAAAUCUUUUUCAUCAAGACAGUAAUUAAAGAAUGGGAACCUAUUUUCAAAAAAAAUUCUAGCUUCUAUGCUAGUUAUAAAAUAGCACUAGUAAUCCAAAUAAGUAAGUGUUUGGAUUUAAUAAAUUCAGUCUGGAUCGAAUGUAACUAUAAUACUUACAUAUGAAUGAAAGAUCACCAUUGUGGUAGAUAUGCUAAAUACCACAGGCUGAUUGGUUAAAAAACAGAAUUCUAUACUUCUUAUCCUGGAGCCGGAAAAUCUGAGGCCCAAGUGCCAGCAGAAUCAGUUCCUGGACAAGGCUUUCUUCUUGGCUUGUAGGUGGUCAUCCUCUUGCUGUUUCCUCCCAUGGAGGAAAGAGAUAUCUGACAUCAUUUCUUCUUUUGAUAAGCCAUCAUGAUGGCUGCAUUGUCAUGAUCAUUUCUACACUUAAUGUCCUCUCAAUGACUGAUGCCCAAAUGGAAGCACACUAGGAAUCAGGCUACAACACAUGAAUUUUGGAGCAAACUUAAUUUCCUCUCUAGUACUCUCUAUAUUUAAAAUCUGCUUCAUAAACUUUCUGUCUGAAGACAUUUGUAUCUGUCUGCUAUAAGACUUUUACUUUAUAACCAUAUGAUCAAACAAAACUUAAAUAACAAAAAUAUAAGGUAUUCUAUGCUGGAUAAAAUUUUACAAUGUAUUCAAUUGUGAAGCAGGAAAGAAACGGAUGUGACAUUUUAAAUCCAAUAUAUACUAUGUUAAAGAAGCAUCAAAUCAUUUUUAAUAACAUACUCUCUUGCCAAAAAAGUAAAUAGUUUUAUCUCUUCUCUGAGAGUUCCACAUAAAGCAAAGUUGGUUAGAUAUCUUCAAAUAUGAUUUAAACCGUAAUUUUUGAUGUCAAUGAUAUUUGACAUGUUAAAUUGCAUAACAAUCAAAUCCAGCUUAUUUUUACAUUCAUGAGUAAUGACAUUUAUAGAAAAUAAAAGAAGUGACUAUUUUAUUGUAUUUUUUCCUUAGGUUUCAUAAAAAUUACUAGACAUCUGUAUCUACAUAAAACUGAGAAAUAUAGAUAUUUCAAAAUUUCAAAGGCUGAGACUUUAGUAUUCUUAUACCUCCAAAAUAUUCAUUUCAUCUCAGAUUGUAUACAUGCAAGAAAAGUGUGGCUUUGAAAAAAUGUAGGCAACCUACAUACAAAUAGAACUUCUAUAAAGAUUUAAAUUUUCCAUAAUCUUUAAUAUAUGUUCAGAGUGGUGUGAUUUUAAGUGUCAUUCAUACAUAGCUGUAUCUAGCAGUAGUUUUUUUUUGAAGAUUUGUAUUGUUACAUGUUUUAACUUGUUAAAAGAAUGUUUUUCUUCAAAAUCAAAUUAAAAUACGUUUGUAAGAGAUGAAUAUAACUGAAUUUCUAAUUCCUCAUAUGUUGUUUAGGUCACUUUGGAAAUAAAUAAUUGUCAUAUAGAUGCAGAAAAUAAAUUCAAAUCUGUGAUAAAUAAAUUAAAAAUAAAUUUAUCUGUAAUAAAGAGGAAUUUAAGUCAAUAAUUUGGCCCAAUGGCAGACUUUACAAUCUUUUCCACAAAAAGGGGAGAGAAGAUAUUUUGUUACUUUGGUAGUGAAUAUUAUUUUCUAUGCUUAAAACAAAAAUUAAUGUAAUAACUAAUAUCCUUAUUUUAAUUAUAAAUGUCAGGGUAAAAGACUUUUCUAAACAUCAUCCACAGAACAUGUGAAAGGAUAAAGUGUGAGUCAGACUUUUAUAUUUGUCUGACUAUAAUGUCAUUGCACUCUUUACCAUAUUGAUUUAAUGUGUUUGAUUCAAACAGGAUGGUGCAUGGCACAGCAUGUACUCCUGGGCACCCUGUUCAUUUCAGAGGACCCUACUGGUUCUCUGUGGAAGCACCUAAUUCCUAACCAACAGCCCAACAUCAGUCCUUAGUUAUACCAACUGUAGGAGAAAGAAACUAGUGCAAUGAAUAUACUCUUUCUGCUAUAUUACCUCUUUGUACUAAAUAUUAUAUUUCCUAAUAUUAACCACCAGGUUUUAAAAAGUUAUUUAUACUUCUUGGUUUCUUUUCUCAAGUUCAAAAAAUCUAUAAUUUGUACUAAAUUUGAGAUUCAAAUUCAUGGAUAUUAUGUUCUUAUCUCACUGGCUAAAGAUUAUCAAAUAAUUUACUGAAUUAUUAAUCUUCAUACGUGGCAAAUGGUGAGAUUUAUAUUUUAAAAACAUGAUUAAUAAACAUCUCGAUUUGUUUUAUAUUUCAUAACAAGGUGCAGUUGAUUCCUGCCACUCUUUAUGACAAAUGUAUAGUAACUUUCCUGGCAAAUCGGCAUCUUACUCAACAGGUGGUUAGUGGUCCAGAUUUCACACUUUUAAUGUAAGAAACUGGUUAAGCUGGUCUGUAUGAUUUUUGACUGUAUAAGGAAUAUUAAUUCUUAUUUAACUUAAUACAAGUUAGUAAUUACUGUCUCAAUAGCAGAAAAGUUAUAUUUUUUGUUUUGUUAUUAGAAUUUAGUACAAUGAUAUUGAAGUUUGGACAAUAUGAAUACAGCACAUGAAUUUGAAAAAGUAAUAUUACUAACCAUGUAAUACAUAAAAGUGGAACACAGUGAGGUCUUUUAAGAGCCUGACCUUUUUGAACUGGACUUGAAUGGUCCUAAUGUUCACAAGUUGCUGAUUUGGAGCCACACUGGGUUUAGCUCACAAAAGUGGUAUUUUGAAACAAAUUUGCCUUUAUACUCACAGUCAUACCCUUGGGAUAUGAAUCAUUUUCCAAGUAACAUUUCAACAUAAGGGAAGUGUUUAUCACAAGAUGAAAAACAAAAUAUUCAAUGAACACAAAGAUUCGGAGGACAUGCAUGAAAUCAUCAUUACAUUGCUAAUAGACAUGUUUUAUGGCUAUUCUUUUCUAUCAGUGCAAAAUAUAAAUAUAUAGAUGGGACUAAGUUAACAAAUGAGUAAGUUAAUUAUUUUAUUUCAGUUUAAGGCAAAUGAUGUAGCCAAACUGAUGAUUCAAAAAUGAAGAAAAUCAAAGAAUAAAAAACCCAAGUUGUGUAUGGUGCUGAGCAGAGAGAUUCCUAAUGAAUUUUUUGAGCUAUAUGAAGAUACAACUCCUAAAUUACAGGCUCUGCUUUUUGUCUAUCCUUAGUUGACUUGGCUAUUUUCUAAGUCAGUGCUCAAGGUCUUGUCAUAAAUAGAGUUAAACUUAGGCAACUAAAGUCUAAAGUUAGACAAUGCAAAAUUGUGGCAUUAUGGUAAAAUGCAAAUCACAUAGAGAAAAUGAGGAACUAGAAUAAUUUUGGUGGUUAUUUGUAUUUAUUUACUAAUGGGCUGAAAAAUAAAUGGAGAAUUCAUAGGCCUGUUUCUCUAAUUCUUGGGUCAACUAAAUAUUUUGCAAAUGGCAGAACCUCUAACAAUCUCAAAAUGUUCAUGUACAAGUUGAAAUUGAGCCAAUAAUCCCUAAGAUUCUAUCUAGUGCAAAAUUUUAUAAAGUUUUUCAAUUUUCAAAUAAUUCUUUGGAUUGAACUGAUGUUGAUUUUAAGGAUGUAUACAUGUUAUGGAAAUCUUCCCAAAAGAGUUGUAGACAUCAUAGCACAUUGAUAUAUGCAUAUCCAUGUUUACAGUGGCACAAUUCAUAAUAGCUAAAUCUCAGAAACAGCCUAAAUGUCCAUUAACGGAUGGAUAAAGAAAAUGUUGUGUUUAUACACAAUGAAGUACUACUCUGCCAAAAAGAAGAUAAAAUUGAGUCAUUUAUAGGUAAAUGUAUGCAACUCAAGAACAUAAUGCUAAGUGAAGUAAAUCAGAUGCCCGAACUUAGAUAUCACAUGGUCUCCCUUAUAUGAGAAUCUCAAUACAUAAAUAAAGUGCAAAGUGAGGAAUGGACAGUAGAAAAUAGUGAGCUGGAUCUGUGGUAUAUGAGAAGGAAACAGAAAGACAGUAUUUUGGGGACACUAAUUUUUAAAAAGGGAGAGGGGUUUGUGAAGAGCCGUGAGCAUGCACCAAGUCCCUUCAAGGGGAGGGAUCAUCAAAUAAUAUAUUUAUAUAUAUAUAUUAUAUAUAAAACAUAUAUUAUAUAUAAUAUAUUUAUAUAUAUUAUAUACAUAACAUAUAUAAUAUAUAUAUAACAUAUAUAUAUGUUACAUAUAUGUUCCAAGAGGUCCAGGGAGAGGGAGGGAAGCAAGGGAGAGGGUUAAAAAAGAAAUUAAGAAAUUUCAUAAAGGGCAGGGGAUUUAGCUCGGUGGUUCGGCUGCCUGCACUGCAAGCUCAAGGGUCUGAGUUUGAUCUCUGGUACCACAAAAAAGAAAAAAAGGAAAUUUUGUAAAUAUCAUGUAUGUGUACUACCUCCCCAUGAUGAAUGUAAUCAUGAUGUACUACAAAUAUAUACCAAGAAAAUUUUCUUUAAUUAGAGAAAGAAAGAAAAUCCUCACAAAAAAUGUUGAGGGAUCUCUGAAAUUAUAAACUAUGAGAUAAGCAGUAAUAUCUCUGUCUCCUUUAUUUAGAUAUUACUAAAAGGAAAAAAAGGUCAACACUAAGUUACAUUGUCCAGAAAGAAUGUUUUAAAUCUGAAAUGAUUUGAAAUCUUAAAUAGUCUAGAGAGAUGGACUAGAAAUAAACAAAAGAAAUGACUGAUUAUGAAAAAAACCCUAAUCUUGGGUCCAAAUAUCUUUUUAACUUAAAAUUUUACACAAAAAUUAUAUAUUGUUCUGGGGUGGAGAAAAGGAUCUCUUAAAAAAUUUUAUUAUUGGAGUAGAAAUAUUAAAAUGAAUACCAAUUUCUAAGUAUUUUUUGAAAGUGGACACAUGAUUACAUAUUUGGUGUGCAUUAGCUAUAUGUAUUUUGACUUCUUCAGUAAAGCAAUGUUUACAGGAAGUCUAGUUUGGACAUAUUUUUGAUAUAAUAUAUAUCAUAAAAUUGUUCUUUUAAAUAUCGGUACAUUUUAAAAAAUGUCAACGCCAGCUUUAUUAGCUGUUCUCUAUGAAAUAAUAUUCAAAUAUUUCAAGAAAAUAAGUUUAAACCCCCACCCGAUUCAGUAAAAUAAAGUUAAAUAUGAUAAGAACAGGUGUUUCAUUAGAAAUUUAGCCAGUGGUGCAUCUUAAGAUUCCCAAUGGCAAAAAUACACUGUCACAUAUUGACCCAUUGGUCAGUCCACGUUAUGCUAAGUUGUACUUGUUCCUGAACACAAUUCUUGCUCUUAUAUUAAGUAGGGAUGAAAAAAGAUUAUUUCUCUCGGUUUCUUUCCAAUAGGUAGAAUCCCAGAUACUAUUACAUUAGUGCCAUUUUACAGAGCCCGAAAAUUUGUACAGUGGAAUGCAUGACCCUCUUCUACAGCUAAGAUUGAAUUCUGAGUAUGUUUGGCAUUCUUUUUGAGCUGGACUUAACUGAACUGAGAAACUGGGUGAUGUGAUCACAGUAUCUCAGGGAUCUCUAAAAUAUACUGUAACUUAUUCAAAGCUAGGUUGAGUUUUCAUUUCUUCAUAACAUUCUCCACAUUUCACUGUGAACAUUUUCUUUGAUGGCUACACAUACGGAACAAUCUCUUUAUCUUUAAUAUAUGAGAGAUAUUUGAACAUUAAUGAUUUAUUGAAAAAUUAUAACCAUCAAUAAAUAUUAAAACCCAAUUGUAUGAAGAUUUUUGCAAGUGAUAUAGUCAGCUUCACCUGUCAGAUGAAGUCAAUGGGGCUAUAGUUAGGUGGCUUGAGGUCACAAGGUAGUAAGGCAGGGCUUGUAAAGUCAAAGCAGUCAGACUAGUGUGUUUCAUUGAUUUGAAUGCUAUAUUUCAGAUUGAAUUGAAAAUUUUAAACUUUUGUUCUCAUGCUUUUCCUUAUCAUUAUAAGUAUAUGCUUCAGGAUUUAAGGUGUGUUUUAUGUGCCUUGCACAAGAUUUUGAUCAACAGUGGACAACCUCUUAGCUACAUGUGCAUCAAUCCCCUCAGUGCUACAUAUAGGACAGCUCCAUUUUACUGCAUUAGCCAAAAUAUGUCUAAAAUUUUACAGUGAUCAAACCAUGGAAGUCUUUCCAUUUUUUUUUGUCUUAUCAGAUCCUUCCACUGCUUACUUUGACUAUGAAAAAAUGACAAGUUGGAGGAUGGUCUUGCUAUCCAGGGAUUCAAAUGUACUAUGUAUUUGAAGAGGCAAGAGUAGAGGUAAAUGAGAGAAAUAAAAAAAAAUAUUGGAAUAGUAUGGAAUAUGCUCCAGAAGAGUUUCUAUACCAAGUUACUCCACCUUUCCCCAUCACACUCUUGUCUUGUGUUUCUCAGAAGCAUUUAAUACUUCUGCCCAAGUUCUCCCAUAAGUUAUCAUAGCAUACUUAACCUCUGAGUUCAAAAGCUGCAGCCGAUGUUGCUCAGGAUGUGUUCUGCUUGUUCAAACAGUAUUUCCAUCCCCAUACUUGGAAAUACUUAGAGUCACACAGCUGUCUAUGUUUCUUGGCCUAUGAACCACCUUCCUAAAAUGAGUAUAUAAAUAAAAUUCUCAGGUGAGAUAAGUUAAUUAAACUAAACUAGAAUAGCCCAUCUCUUUCUGGCACCUUUAGUCAAGUAAACUGUCUAGAAGCAUCUGCCCAGUCCUGAUUGACCCAUCUGGAAAGAAUAGUUCUUGUUCUGUCACAGAGGUCUAAAAAAGAGACACAGGAAUGGGUAUUACAAACCUUCAGAUGUACCAACUGGCAUCAUUCUAUCGUAGGUAGGACUGCAGUUCCUCCCAUUUACCUUAUGAAUAAAAAAUGCAUAAUUUUAUUAUACUAAUUAAAAAAUGGUUUGCAGCUAAACCCAUUUCUGUAGAAAAUAUUACGCUGGAGGUGGUUCUUAAUGCUACCUUAUUGGUUAGGUCUAGUUUUUCUCUCUUUUAAGGUUUUCAAAGAACCCUGUGUAUGUGGUAAUUAUAUCCUUCACCAAAACUGUUGAAAUAAUGAACUGAUCUGAAUUUCUCUUAUUUGUAAAGGCUGUGUUAUAUUGAGGACUAGGUUUUAACACCAAGCCCCGCUCUGCUUGUCACAAAUCAGACCCCCUCAAACCACUAAGCUAUUUUUGAAAGGAAUUUAAAAAGAGUCAGUGUUAUAAAGUUUUGAUGUGGCUACUAUUUCUGAACAGUAUUUCCAAAAUCUGUGAUUAUUCUCUACUUCAGAGAGAAAAGGUCUACAUACAACCUUCAAAUUCUCUAAUGUUCAAAGGGGCAGACAGCGAGCUUCCUGCGUGAGCUAGUCCUUGAGUCGGCGUCCUGUGUUGGGCACAUCCAGACAUUUCCAUUCCAGUUCUGAUUGGGACAUGCCACCACGAAUGUUCAAUUAUUCCAGCAAUCUCAGUCUUGUUCUCCAGUUUGUCUUCUCUCCAGCUUGCUAAAUUCAGUACACUACAUUCUAAAAUUGAUUAUCAACAAUACAGGCAUAACUUUAUCUACAAGAGAUCUUUGUAUACCCUGUUCUCUGUCCUCUGAAAUUUUGCUCCAUUCUCCCACAUUUUUAUUGUCAUUGUUAAUGUCACUCAUUCUGGAAAUAUAAGAGAAAUUUUGUUAAGUAUGUAAUGUGUUCCAUGAGACUUUGUAUACCUCAGAUGUUUUUCUUUUUUUUGGAAGAAAAGGAGGCUUUUCAAUGAAGAUAUCGUCAUUGUAUUUUAAAGUGAAGUCUUUGACUGAAAUGGCAUGGAAGAGAUGCCUCCCUCAGCAAUAGUUUAGUCAAAUAAGCUGGGCCCAAGAAAAAAUAAUUAUUGGAUAAAGGAAAGUCACUAUAAAAUUAAUCUUUAAUGUGGAAACUAACUAAAAUUUUUUUCAUUAGCUCUGCUACUUUAAGUGUGUAGCAGUGAUGUAAUACAUGCAUACUUCUAUUGCCUUUUGCAAUUUAGCAAUAGAUAUACUGUGAAAGAUUGUCACAGAGUCCAAGGGGGCCCUCUGAACCCUUUCUAGUCAGACUUCCCUACUCAGCACCUUUCCAGUUUGUUAGAGUCCCAGCUCUUCUAGAACUGUGCAUGAUUACAAUAUUAAGUACAAUCAUAAUAUGGCUUUUAAUUUGUUUCAACUUAUUCAUUGCUUUCUGAGUAGCCCUCUUAUUAUCCCAAUGUCUAUGGCAUAUCCAUCAUCUAAGCCUACUGGAGCAUCAAUUUUAGACAGAAUAAACAUGCCUGAAAUUUUUAAAGUUUUUAAAGACAACAAUGUUUCUCAGGCUUAAAUUUAGAAAGAACUCUUUAUGGUUGCUAAUAUUUCAGGUACUAUGCAGACUGAAGCAGUCAUCAAAGCAAGCUAUGCAACUGCUAACAUAGGACAAGUAUGACUUAUGGAACUCAAUAAAAUUGCAAGUAUAUUCCCCUUCUCACUUUAAACAUUUCGUGGAGGAACAGAUCUUUUGCCUUCAAUGAAGUCUCUGCAGGCUUUGUGACUUUCCUUCCCAGUCCCAGAUCAAAAGAUGGGCCAGACGUAUUUCCUCUUUAGGUGUCAGGAUCAUUGGUAUAUCUGAAUGUUUGCUAAGUAAAAAAGAAUUUAGUAAUUUUAAAGUAUUAAGGAUUUCAGGAAUUACAGUCAGAGGGCACACACAUAUACUGUAUUUUUCUUUUUUCUUGACAAGUCUUCCUUUAUUUCACCAUUCUCCACCUAGUGAUGGCUUAAAUUUCUAUCUUCAUUUCAUUCUGUUCCUGAGCUCAUAUGCAUUUCUUCCUAUGAUCUUUUGUUUCUCUUAUUUCCUUGUAAAACUUACCCUUAAAUGUUUUAAAUGAGGCUGAAAGGUGAUUUGUCUGAGUGCAGGAGCACACAGGACAGGGUGAGUCAUAGGAGAGCAAAAAUAAAUUGACGAGUGUCUUAGAAAUAUAAAAACACAGAUCAGAAUUAAGAGACAAGCAAUAUGGAGCCAUUCUACAUUCCAAAGUAGAGAAGUGCUUAAUCUUAUUAGACAUUAAUCAGAAUCCAUAUUUGAGGACUUCAUUCUUGUGUUCUUAUGAAAAUUUCUUUUCAGUAAUGAUGUUAAAUUUCUAUUAAAACAAAGACUUUUCAGAACUAUAAAAAGUAUUUAAAAUAAAUCAGUCUUUUAUUAAUUUUCUAUGAAAUCUAGUAAAAUUUUAAAAAGAUGUUAUGAUAUGAAGUAAUUUUUAAAGGUAAAUGUAAUUCCCUGUUGAUGAUAAAACAUGUAAAUUAUGAGACCUACUUCUCCUUUUAUCUUACUGAUUUAAUUUUACAGAUCCAUUUAUUGCAUACAGAAAUAUUCACACACACAGAUUUGUGAAUCUAUUUCAUAUUGUAUUUGUAUUUUUCUUUACAAUAUCUUACCAGUGAUAACAUAUUCUUUUCUUAUAAUCUAUGAAAUUUCAAAAGAACUUAUUCCCACAUACUAAGAGAUUUUCUCCCAUUUUUUCUUUAUAUAAUUAAAAAUGUGUAUCUUUAUAUAUGUUCAAUAUAUCUUAUUUAAAAUACUUGAGAGUAAAAAUACUUUAGAUAUUUUUAGGUUUUGGAAUAUUUACCUAAACAUAUUGAGACACUUGCCUAUGGAUCCCACUGUUAACAUGAAAUUCUUUGAAAUUUCAUAUUUGCUUUAUACUCAUACUCUGAAGGUAAUCUUGCAUAAUACUUUUAGUGUACCUUUGUUUUGACUGCAAACCAUCACAUGAGGUCAUGUGGGAUUUUCUAUUUCUAAUAUGAUGUCAGCGCUCAAAAAUUUUGUAUUUUACAGGAUUUCAGAUUUCUGAUUUUCAAAUUGGGGAUGUUCAAACCUUACUACAUUAAAAGUUUUUUGACACCCUAUUAAGAAGUACUAUAUUGUUUUUCAUCUAUUUCAUGUUUUCUAAGUUUAGAAGACUGGCUGCCUUUUUACUUAAUCGAUUUACAUUAUUAUAAAGUACUUACACUUGAGAUAUACUGUAUAAUCUAAUAUAAACACUAUUGGGUACCAAUAUUUAAAUUUAGAAAUAAAUUUUCUAUAGAAAAGAAUUUAGCAAAGGAGACUGAAAGAUUGGCCAGGGAAAAAGGAAAGGGGGAUUCAAGUGAGAAAAAAAAAUAAGCAUGCACAUGUUUGAAAAAUGAGUGUUUUACUUCCAUCAAAGAUUAUUAAUAAAUCAAAUACCAUAAAGACACAAACUUGCCUAUUGAAUAGGGUAACAUGGAUGUCAAUGAUAAUCUUGAAAAGAGUGAAUUCAGCCUGUGAUUGGUUUGGGCAAGGAGAACGGUGGUUUUUGUUCAGAAGAGAAUGAGAUUGACUGUGUACUCCCUCUGAAAUCAGAACCCACUCACAUGAAGAGGGACCAGAAAACUAGCGUUAAGUAAUGAAUGUGUGGUAUACAGUGAGAGUUUUUAGAUAAUAUCAAGAUAUAAAACAUUCAGAUGCUGAUGCAAAUGUUCUAACAAAUUCUAAGGGGAAAAACUGAGGUCCAGUCAUUGUAGAAAAUUUAAUUUUGGCAAGAUGCACCAUUGUCUUUGUUUGCUUUUACAUUACUUAGUGAAGCAAACCAAGAAUAUUACCUAUGAAUAUGAAAAGAGGAAGUUGUGAUGGACAUGUAAACAGAUAAAUUGAAUAUAUUUCUCUGAAAAUAGGAGUGCAUUUAGACCAAAGAAAAUUAGAUUAUUCAUCUGUGUUGUUUAGCGAUUAAAUUGUGUUGAGAGAAGUCAAAAGGAUUUGCAUUCCACAUUCAACUCUUCUGGUACAGACAUUAAGAGGUGGAGGUGAAUUUCUUUAAAGGUAAAUGUGUGUGUGUGUGUGUGUGUGUGUGUGUGUGAAAGAGAGAGAGAGAAGAAAGUGUUUAUAAGAAAAUGAUUACUUUUAGAAGUCACAGAAUACUUGAAUAGGAGAAAUAUGGCGAUUUUAAGAAGAUUGGCAGUGAGAAAGUAUAAGCUCAGUGGGUUAGAACUCCUUGUAGAGACAGCUGACUUAUACAAAUGUGUUACUUGAAGAAAUUUUUGCAUUUCAUUAUUUUUAUUAACAUUUUAUCUAUAGCUCUUUGCACUCAUUUUCAAUAUAUACCCAUGUUAUCACAAUCCACUUCAUGUUACCAUUUUACUAUUUCAUUGGAUAAAGGAAGCAUGAACAGAAUAGUUACUGCUGUCCCAUGUUUUGUAUGUGGAGUUGCUGAUUUGCUGAGUUGCUGUGUUGAAGGGCUUGGUAAUUGGAAAAUGUGAAAUUGAUUAAAUUAUCUAAGGAAAAUUUUGAUUAUUUCUAAUGGUUUUGUGUUAAAUAUUUAAGAUUGAUUAUAGAUUUUUUUUAAUUCAAUGCUUAUAACUUGGAAAAUGUACUAUUAUGUUUCCCUAAUGAUUAACUGACUUCAUAACGGGAAUUCUGAUCACACUGGAUGACUAAGUGGCUAAAACAUUUGAAUUCUUAAGCAACACAGACUUGUUUUGAUUUAAUAGCCCUUAGCAGAAAAGAAAGGAGACCCUUGUAGGACAAUUUUUUUCAAAUAAUCUCAAGUAAUUUCCAUCUAUAAAAUGAUAUACUAAUAUAUGUAAAAUGAUUCACUCCAAAGCUCUAAUCUAAGACAUUUUUAAUGUGAAAAAUUAAAUUAUUUUUAAUAAAAUUUAAACCAUUAGUUUGCCUAGUGUGGAUACUGCCAUUUUCCUUGGGAAACUUGCCAUCAAUCUCGUAUUUGAGUAAGAGGAAGAGAGAGAGAUACAGAGAGAAGAGAGAGAGAGAGUGAGAGAGAGAGGGAGGGACAGGGACAGGGAGAGAGCAAGUGAAAAAAGGAGAAAGUAGGUUUUAUACCUUCUUUUCUUUCAAUCUCAGGCACUCUAAAAUUAUUUAUAUACAGCCGUUAUGUAUAGACACCAAAUCAUUUAUAGAUAACUUCUGAUUUAUGACUAUUAUUUUAUUACAAUACAAAUAUUAAAUAAGUUGAAAAACAAUACGCUACAAUUCUGUAACAUAAAGUAAUUCAAUUAGGUAGAAGUUAUAUCUAGAUUUGGAUAAUAUAAUUGAUUUGACAAAGGAAAUUUAGUCUUUAAAUAUACAAAUAUGUGCAUGCUUUUCAACUUUAAAAUGAAUCAUAUAUUGUUUGAUGAAAUAUAUUUAUAUAUAGUACAUAUAUGUCUAUGUAGAAGAUUAUUUUCUCACAUAGCACAUAAAACAAUGUGUGUGUAAAUUUAUAUGUUAACAUCCAGAUUCCUAUUUAAGGACAAACAAUUUAAGUAGCUGCUGUCCAAAUGAACAAAGUAUGUCUACAAACAACUUUACUUAAAGGCUACAUCUUAUCAUUAAUAUGAAGGUUAAAAAAGAUACAGUCCAAGAUGCCACUUACUUUUAUCUUUAAUUCUAGAAUCAUCUAUUUAGCAAAAUUAUUUCUGACAGUUGCUUCAAAUUUCAAACUCCGUACCCAAACUGCCAACACCUAACCUUUAGCUUCUUACUUUCUCAUAUGAUAUCAUGGAACUUACAGUUUCUACUCAGCCGUAGACCUACUCAUCUUGCUUAUCUGUGUUCAGGUGACUUUUUGCAUAAGAUCUAUCAGUAUGUUCAACUCUGGCUUUCCUAUGACAGCUUCAGAAUCAUGAUUAGGUGUCUCAUUUAUCUUUCUUGUCUCCUGAGUGCGCACUGUCUCUCUCUCUCUCUCUCUCUCUCUCUCUCUCUAUAUAUAUAUAUAUGUAGGAUGCAUUAGUUGAUAAUUUAUUCAUAUUCAAUAUAGGGAAUAUUUUACUUUACCUUUUACUUUACAUUUUAUUUAAAAAUUAUUUGUAAAAAUGACAUACUUAUUGUGCUGCUCAGGAGGCUCAUACUAACACAGCUACCUUCUGCAACAAAAUGAAGAAGUUAAAAAAAUCUUUCUGAGAUUCUGGGUUAGUACUCAUCUUAUAAAACAUUAAUUUUGGCUUUGAUUGAGAACAUUUAAUUUGUAGUCAUAUUUCAAAGUGGCUACCUUCUUGGAAAAGUUCCACUCAUUAUUCAAAAGCACUUAAAAGUAAAUUCCAAUGGGAAGCUGUCACUAUUUCCGUAAUACCGAGGUGCAUCUCACUUUGUGUUUUUGUGAUGCUUUGUAGCUGUGUCCUAUUUUGAUUGUCUCAUUCUCAUAACUGUUAACAUGUAUGUCACUUCCACUGUAUAUUAUUAACCUAUUUGGAAUAUUACAUUGCCUAUUGUUCUUGUUGACACUUGUGUCCUUGCCUUAAACAUUAAGAAAGAAAAGACCAUUAUUUCUUUCCAUAAGUCUUUCAUGAAAUUACAUUUUAAGAAGAAAAGAUGGUAUAUAUAUAUAUUUGUGUAAGAAGUUUUUAGCCAUAUAUGGAAAUUUAAAUAUUAAAUCAGGUCGAUAUGUAUAAUUGAAAUAUGACUAUCACUUACUUGCAACAAUCUCAUUGCUAUGAAAGUUUACAAAGAGAUUUUUGAGUAUUCAAAAAGAAGGCUUAAUAACAAUUGAAUAAUAUAAUGAAGCAGAAAUUAAAGACAAAGUAGAGAAUUGAAAGAAUAUAGGAUUAGUUGUCAAUGUAGUUCUUAAAUAGAAUUACAGGAGGCAAUAGUUUUGGACUGAUUUCCUUCACUAGACCACAAUAGACCAAAACAAAAUGGAGCUACUCAUGGUAAGCCACUCUGUGCUACCAAACUGAAACUAAAUUACUAACUUUCUGAGAAAACUAGAAGAAAAAGAAAAUGUAGUAUUGAUACACGAUGGGGUAUUGCUGAACAGUCGGAUAAACUUGAGUCAUUUUUAGGAAAAUGGAUGCAUGUUGAAAUUAUAAUGUGAAAUGAAAUAAAAUAUCACAUAUUUUCUCUUACAUGAGCAAUUCAAUAUAGGCAUAAAGUGAAAUGAAAGACAAUUAAUAGGAAAAAAGAGAGAGAAAAACUAUUUCUAUCUGGCAUGGACAAUAUAUCUAAAAGUGUACCUUAAUUUAAUAUAAUUAUCUUUUAUGUAUUUUAUAUGUUUUCUUCUAUUAGUCUUGUUAAUCUGCAUAUACAAUAAUUAACUUUAAAAUGGCUUAUAAGAUAAGUAAAUAAAUCUGAUACUGGCAAAAUAAAAGAGUGGAGGGGAGAGGAAAAUAAAAGAAUUGAGAUGUAUUGUGUAAAUUUCUUACAAAGAAUCCAAACAUUAUGUACUCUUAAUAUGUACUAAUAAGAAUUUAAAAUAAAAAAAUAAUAACCAGAUUUCUAAACAGCUCAGUUUAUCCUUCAUGAUAAGGUAAACCCUCCUUUAACAUUAAAAGGAAAGCAACCUGAAGUAAUAUGAAAUUGACCAAUGCACUUUUGUAUCACAGCUGUUCCUUUGUUUCUGCAAUUAUUACAGUUUAAUAACUGACUGUUCCUCCAUGCCCAGAUUAGCUGUUCCUAAAGAUUUAGAUGAAAUUCUUCUACCCAAAUUCAUGAAUUACCAAUAGAAACAAGUUAUAUUUUUAAACUAGAUUUGUGAUAAUUUUUGUCUCUUGGCAUAAUUAUACAUACAUAAAAUGGAUUGACUUUCAUUAUAAUAAUACAUGAAACAUUCAGAGGCUGCAAAGUAAUCUUUAUUAGAUAGUUUGGUUACUUUACAUCAUUUAUUAUUUGAUUCCCAAAUUGUUGUACUUGGCUCAGUUGGAACUUAUAUUUAAUUAUUUCUAUUUCAAAAUUUGGGGAUGAAAAUAAAAACGUUAAUGAGAAUAAAUAAAACAUGCUGUAGUUGUUAUUAACACGGAAAAUGUUUUAUUGGUAAUAUGUUUAAACUUUAUAAUAUGAAAGAUAUUUUAUAUUACAUAGCCUUUUAUAACACUCAGGAAUUUUCUGAGUGUUCCUAGGAAAAAUGGGAGAUAAAGAGGUGGCAAUUUUAAUUCAUUAUCAUUUUAUCCAAAAACUCAAGGCUUACUAGUAGACUUUUAAUAUGAAGAUGAUACACAUUUAUUUAAUAAUCAAGAGCUCACUAUUAGGGAAAUAAUAUAUAUAAAGGAAUAAAACGUAUCUUUUAAAUAGAGGCAACAGAAUUUAAUGUUAUGACAAUUAUAACAGAUAUAUGUUACUUGUGUAUCUUUGCUUUAUUUUAUUGUUCAUCAGGUGAUAUUUGUUCUUCAGGGAGUAAAAUCUACUAUUAGCAAUUAAGACCACUGGGUAAUACAUAAAAUAUAUAUUAUUUUUAAAAAAUUUAUAGACCUUUCUAAUUCAUCAUCUGCUCUCUAUGUGCAGUCCUAGAAGGCUUUGGUGGUUAGAAAGUAGUUGGAAACUGAUUCUUUAAGGACUUAAGGAGGAAGCAACUUCAGCUUUGAUAAGGAAUAAAUCUGCCAUAAAUUUCCAUAGAAUCAGACUGAAUUAAUGGUUUGAAUUCAAUGCCUCCAUAGUGAAUUCAUAUAAAUCUAAGGCUUUUAACAGUUGGAUAGGCAAACAUAAUUCACUGAUACACAAUCUUGUUAAUUUAUAGUAAUAUGGAAUAUUUUUAAAAUACAGAGAAAACAUUUAUAAUAAAACACAUAUUAUAAAAAUACUUAUAUUAUAAAAAUUCAAAUGCAUGUUAAAAAUGAAAGACCGAGGUAUUGUUCAGAAAAGUAGAAUAAAAGCCUUCAUUUCCUUCUUCCAAGAAAGGGACACAUGUGGCCAAAAAACAGAGGCUUCUUCUGAUCCCAGCUUCCUCACGAGCUGUGGUUCCACAGUGAGAGGAGCUGAGUUCCUCCUCUUCUUAUCCCACUGCCCUGUGCUGUGGAUCCUCUUGACCAGGGCACUGUGGUUGGGAAGUGUAUACUUUAGUUUUUCCACCAAAUCUCACAAAAUAGAUUUUAAAUCAAAAAUCUUGCUAAACAAGAAAGAUAUUUCUUAAUAAAAGUAUAUAUCAACCCUUCAAGAGGCUGAAAGUAUUCUAAAAUGUUAAAAUAGAACACAAAAAUGUGUGAAGCAAACACUUUUAGAGCUGAAGCAAGAAAAUGAAAUUGAAUAUUAACAGUUAAAGACAUCAGCGUACCACUGUCAGUAACGGAUGAGAAAAUGAGACAGAAGAUCAAGGAAAUAAAAGCUUUAUUCUAUAAAUAUGGGGCCUAAGACAUCUACAAAACACACUCAAUAGCACCAGAAUACUCUUCUUCUUGAACAUCCUCCAAGACCCUAUGAUAGAACAUAAUGGAAUACAAACAACAACAAAAAAUGUUGGUACUGGGGAUUGAACUCAGGGCCUUUUCCCAGAGCUUUGUACCCAGACCUCUUUAUUUUUAUUUUCUGUUUUAAGACUGGAUCUCACUAAGUUGCUAAGAUGGCAAGGUGGGGCUCAAACUUGGAAUCCCUUUGCCUCAGCAUACGAGAGUAGUGGGAUUACAGACAUGCACCCCACACUCCAGUAACAUAUAAAUCUUAAAUGACUGAAGUCUCAGUAAGUAUAUUUUCUCACAAAAAAUAAAUUAAAUAAAAAGAAGUAACAGAAGAACAUUUAAAAAAUUCUCAAGUAUGUAGAAAUUAAACACACUCUCAGAAAUAACCAGUGGGUCAAAGAAGAAAUGACAAAAUUUUAAAAAAUCAGAAGGAAAUAGAAAUGGUACUACCGCAUAUCAAAAUUUAUGGAAUACAGGAAAUUUGCCCCAGGAUGGCAAUUCAUACCUCUAAACGUCUAUAUUAAAAAGAAGACAGAUCUCAAAUCAAUAACCCAAGCAAGCAGAAAAAAAGAACAAAUGAGAAAAAAGCUAGCAGAGGAAGAAAAUAAUAAUAAUUUGAGGAGCAAUUGCUACUAUAAAGAACAGAAAAGCAAUACAGAAAUUAAAUAAAACCAAAAGUUGCAUCUUUGAAAAGAUGUACAAAUCGACAAUUUUUCAGUGAAAAUGACCAUGAAAACAAGAAAAGAGACACUAAUUACUAAAAUUAGGAAUAAAAGAUAGAUCCACCACUAUGCAACUUUACAAAGAUAUGAAAGAAUUCCAAACAAUAGUAUAAAUAACUUUAUGCCAGAAAAUUAAAUAAUUUAGAAAAAAAUAGAAAAUUUCCUUGAGAUCCAGCCUACCAGUACUGAGUCACAAAGAAAUUUUAAAAAUCCUAUAAAGCUAUAACAUUAUAGAAAUAAGACUAGCAUUUUGAAAACUUCCCAUACACAAAAGGCCCUGACCAAGAAGUCUUUGCUGUUAAUUUUUAUUGCAUACUAACUCCAAUCCUCAUAAACCCUUCUAGAAAAACAGAAGCAAAGAAAACCUUCCAUAUUCAUUCUAUUAGUUGACAUAACUUUGAACCAACACCAUAGAAUAUUCUAAAAACAAAAUACCCAAAAAACAAAUAAAUAAAAAGAAUAUCAAGGCCAAAAUAACAAAGCCAAACAUAAUUGCAGCUUGAUGUCCUUAGAAUUAAAAAAAUGAACUUCAACAAAUGUUAGUGAAUUUAAUUUAGGCACGUAUAAAAAGCAUUAAGUACCCAAAGUAAAUGCCAUUUAUCCAGAAAUGAAAACGUAUAUUAUAACCAUAAUAUGCAGAAAAACAUUAACAAAGUUAAUUAGUUUUUCAAGAAUAAAAAACAAACAAAAUUCAGCAAACUAAGGGAACUUGAAUAAAGGACUUCCUCAAAUAAGAGACAUUUUUGAAUACCCACGCAGUGUCUAAGCAAUGCCAUCCAUGAGUGCUGCAACAGGCUGGGCUAUUCAUUACCACUGAAAGCUCUAAAAGGUUUGCCAUCAUUGCGCCAGAGGUAAAGAUGACGUUUGAUUUCCCUAUAUUAUCAGUGUACUAAUGACGGACACCCACAUAUCUAGAAGCAAUUAUUUGAAAAGCAACCCAACUGUGUAAUCAUUAGUUGGCAAAGGUGAUGGAAAUGUUUGUUUAAGUAAACAUUCUGAUGAUGUUUAUCAGUAUUUCUAAGUGCAUCAUGGAGGAGACCUUGCCCACUUAUAUUCCUACUUUCUAAUUACAAGAAAAUUACAGAGCGAAUAAGUCCAUGAUCUAUGUUAAGUAAGAAAGAAUUAUAUUGAUCUUGUGUUAAGUGAAGAAAAAUGUAAAUACACUGGAUCAUAAAAUACACUAAAAUAGUUCUUGGUCAUCACUUUACCUGGAAUGGAGUUAUACAUUUUCAAAUCUAUUAAAUAUGUGGCAUAUUACAUUUAUGUUCUAAAACUGGGUAAAAUGUUUCUUAGCUUUUAUUUCAGAUAGAACUACCUUCCAUCUGCAAAUUUCCAGGAAUCUUGAAAUCUGUAGAAAGAAUAGAAGCUUUUCUAGCUUGCAUUCAGUAAAUCUUUCCCUGUAGGACAUCAUUUUUCAGUCUUCAAUCCCAUUGUAAUAUACUGUCUUCUGGUAAAAGUAUAUGUGUUUGCAUAAUAUUUAUCAAAUCUUAAAAUUGUCUCCUUUAAUUAAGUUUUCUUUUAUUGUGUAUAGUAAGACAUUCCAUGUGGCUUGUAUUUAAUGUCAGCUGUUCAUAAGGUAAACACAACAUAGUUUAUGUCUUAAAAAUUUCCAACACCAUUCUUUCCCAGAAAGUUUGAAAUGGAGUUUACUACCUGGUUAGGUCUUUCAAAAGAAACUCUAAAGCUAAGCUGCAAAACUCAAAACAACCACACGAACAAGUCUUCUUUAAAAAGUUUUCAGGUAAAUUUUACUAUUAUUUAUAACCAAGCUUUUUUUUUUUUUUUUUCAUUUUCAUGUCAGGUAGGGCAUCAGUUAUGAAACUAUUUUGUGAAAAAUUAUUAUAAUUUGUAAAAGUAUAGACAACUCAUUCCUUUUUGAUAAAAUUAAGUAGUAACAACUUUUAUUUCUACAAUUCAUAUAACAUCAAUUUAGACUCUCUAAAUGAAUGUACACAAAAUGACACCUUCUGUAAUGAAUUAAUUUAGACACUCUAGUUUCAAAGAAAAGGUGGGGCCAAAGUAUAUGGACUAUUGAAGUGAGGGACAUGUAAUGAUGAUGACUCUAUGUUUAAUAUUUAAGUCAUUUAUUUCAUACUGACGAGAUACUAGAGCCAUUUGUCUUAACUCCUGGCUUUUGAAGACAUGAAACACCUACUUUAAUUAGAGAAGCAAUAAACAUGUACAUAGAUAAAGAGACAUAAAUAUUAGUGAAAGAGUAGAUGUAAGUUCACGGAUAUAUUUAGAAAUAUGUUACACAUAUAGAUGAUAUAAAUAUGAAUAUCUGUAUAGAUUGAUAAAACAUAGAAAUAUUAUUAUAGAUAAUGUUGAGCAUAAAAAAAUCAACAUGUCAGUCUACAAAGCUAGGGAAACAUGGUGGCUCAGUCCAUUAUAUUGACAAUUUUCCUUUUAGAUAAUUUUUUCUUUCAUUGUGACAUUAAGUGUUGUCAGUAUAAAUAAGUUGCUAAAAAGAAUACUUCAAAUAUCACAAAAGUUCAAAUACUAAAAGUAUUAAUAAAAUAUGCAUUUGAUGUUGAUGUUGCAAAUUGUGCAGAAAGAUAUAUCUUUUCUCCCCUAAAGAAAUUUUGUGUAUUUUUAUUUUCAAUUAGUGUUUUUAUAGACUGUUUGUUUGCAUACAGUAUUGUUCUUCUGUCUAACUUCAAGCCAUAAAACCUUUAUGACCUUUAUGUUUUGAAUCCAACAAAAUAUGUAGUAUAUCAUUGCCAACAGCAAUACUUUUAUACUGAAAAACUACCUGAUAAAUUUAGUAAAAAAUGAUUUAAUUUAAAUAUCAAAAUCUCAUUACUUAAAACUUGAAAAUUAUUACAGUAUACUUAGUAAGUAGUAUUUAUAAAAUAUUUAGUUAUUAAUUAUAUUAGGCAACAUUUUAUGGAAGUAUGAAAAUUACAAAUUUGAGAAUUAAUAUUAACCUUUACUUCAGAUAAGCCUUAACAUUAAGUUCUGCAAAUAUACUAUUAGACAAGUCAUAGGCCAUUGCAAAAAAAAAAAAUGAGUGGAAAAGCCUGACCUUCACUUGCUUGCUUAUUAAUUUGGGAUCUCAGAUCCUUUUUGAUAGGUCUCCCACCACCUCAGCAGCUAUUAAGUAUAGUAGCUGCCCUCUUCCUAUGGUGCCUUGCCACCUCCCCUGUGUGACAUCAUGCCAAGAUGGUUGCUCCCACCAAAGAACAAACCCUUCUUCCCAGCAUGCCCCUGUUCCCACCUAGACAGUAACCUAAUACUCGCUCACCUCCUACCACCUAGUGACAUCACCGGCUCCUCCAUUCCCUAGUCACUACCUCACUCAACCCCGCCUCAGCCCCUACA
RNAcentral lists this long non-coding RNA (36890 nucleotides) under Heterocephalus glaber (naked mole-rat). Its description in RNAcentral is "lncRNA (ENSHGLG00100048553.1)". The record is from RNAcentral. Lineage: Eukaryota; Metazoa; Chordata; Mammalia; Rodentia; Bathyergidae.